RNAcentral lists this ribosomal RNA (483 nucleotides) under uncultured bacterium. Its description in RNAcentral is "bacterial SSU rRNA". It matches the Rfam family "Bacterial small subunit ribosomal RNA", at positions 28 to 523 of the family's 1533-position model. The record is from RNAcentral.
GACGAACGCUGGCGGCGUGCCUAACACAUGCAAGUCGAACGAGGUCCAUGAGAGCUUGCUCUCAGAAGACCUAGUGGCGAACGGGUGAGUAACACGUGAGAAACCUGCCUCGGAGUGGGGAAUAACUCGGGGAAACUCGAGCUAAUACCGCAUAUCUUCACAUGAUCGCAUGGUCGAGUGAAGAAAGAAUUUCGCUCUGAGAGGGUCUCGCGGCCUAUCAGCUUGUUGGUGGGGUAACGGCCCACCAAGGCAACGACGGGUAGCUGGUUUGAGAGAACGAUCAGCCACACUGGGACUGAGACACGGCCCAGACUCCUACGGGAGGCAGCAGUGGGGAAUCUUGCGCAAUGGGCGAAAGCCUGACGCAGCAACGCCGCGUGCGGGAUGACGGCCUUCGUGGUUGUAACCGCUUUCAGCAGGGACGAAAAUGACGGUACCUGCAGAAGAAGACCCCGGCUAACUACGUGCCAGCAGCCGCGGUAA